AGGACGAACGCUGGCGGCGUGCUUAACACAUGCAAGUCACGGGGGCCCGUAGCAAUACGGGCAACCGGCGAACGGGUGCGUAACACGUGAGCAAUCUGCCGAUCUCUGGGGGAUAGCCAGCCUAACGGCUGGGUAAUACCGCAUACGCUCGUUGGGGGGAGUCCCCUGAUGAGGAAACCUCUGGGGGAGAUCGAGGAGCUCGCGACCUAUCAGCUAGUUGGCGGGUAACGGCCCACCAAGGCAGCGACGGGUAGCUGGUCUGAGAGGAUGGCCAGCCACAUUGGGACUGCGACACGGCCCAGACUCCUACGGGAGGCAGCAGUGGGGAAUAUUGCGCAAUGGACGAAAGUCUGACGCAGCGACGCCGCGUGUGGGAUGAAGCCUUUCGGGGUGUAAACCACUGUUGCCCGGGACGAAACUCCUCUUUCGAGAGGAUUGACGGUACCGGGUGAGGAAGCACCGGCUAACUCUGUGCCAGCAGCCGC
This 485-nucleotide ribosomal RNA is filed under the name uncultured bacterium. RNAcentral's name for it is "SSU rRNA". It matches the Rfam family "Bacterial small subunit ribosomal RNA", at positions 26 to 518 of the family's 1533-position model. The record is from RNAcentral.